CGUGUGACCAACUUGAGCUUUGUAUCCACCUAAUUUCUGUUAUCAUGUCAUAAAAUGAGCUCUAAAAACGAAUGGACGGAAUGGAUUUCUCACAUACAUUGACGUGGGCCUCACCCAUCAUACUUGCGCAGGAAAUCCGUGUCCGCUUCCUUGGGGGAUGAGUUACCCGCGGCCAUAAUACCCUCAUUCAUUUGCAGCAAAGAGAGCGAGAGAGAGGAAAUGGCGACGAUGAAGGCCAUUUGAGAGAGCAACUGGCGUUGAUAAAGGUCAUUAUAGCUGGGCAUAUCUUCGAUAGCCGUGGAAAUCGAAACAUUGAGGUGGAUGCUUGUCUGAGUGAUGGAACUCUAGCUAGGGCUGUUGUCACGAGUGGCGCCUUGACAGUUAUGGUGUUAUAUCUGUACCAGAAGUGACGGAUUGACAGCCUCUAACUAGCAAUGAUAGAUACCUGGUGGCUGCAAUUGAUGGGGUCUCCGAGAAAAUGACUGUGCAGGAUAUCUGUGAUCUAAUAUGGGACGUACGCAUUCAAGACAGUGAAAAAUCAGAAUCUGUUUCUACCAACACAAAAUUGUUGGCUGUGUGGAAGGCUAUGUGGCAGUUCAUGUGCAUUUGUAGUUUGUUUUGAAAACUUUAAAUAGACCAUUAAUUGUUUUGUUGGUAUUGUGCUGAUUGUUUUCUCU
Molecule: long non-coding RNA, 677 nt
Organism: Magnolia sinica
Lineage: Eukaryota; Viridiplantae; Streptophyta; Magnoliopsida; Magnoliales; Magnoliaceae
Exons: 3
Source: RefSeq, a predicted model, not a curated record